UGUGUUUGCACCUCCUCUCGUGUUGGGGUCCCUCCCUCUCUCCUCAGCCACUCUGUUGGGGUCGUUUGCACAGCACAGCUGGGGCGCGUGGGCCACUGUCCGCUUCUCUUCCCGGAACACACACCUUUGCUGGCUGCUGCCCCCUUUGCUCUUUGUCCUCUGGAUCAGGGACCAAAGCUCAGCCCCGGGUCCCAGGGCACUUGAACGUGUGUGGUCCUGGCGAGGGACACGGGGCCUCCUGCCUGGCUCGGGAGGGAGGACCCCACCUUGGCCUCCCCCUCCCCGGGUCUUCGGAGAUGCUGUCAGACCUGGAGCUGCGCGAGCUGGCUCAGCAGGGGAACCUCCAGGGCUGCUUUCCUCAGGUCGGGGCUGGGGCGGCCCUGAAAUCAGAACACACAGGGCAGGAACAGAAACAUUCUUUUGCGGCGUCUGGAGAGAGUGAUGUGGGCCCAAAGCCGUCCCUGAAGAGGCCGCGGAGUGCCUGCCAGCGCCCAGGUGCCAAGCAGGACGUAAGGCCAUCAACCUGCAGGUGGAGCUGGAGGUGCUACAGUGCUUUGAAGCUGGAGAGAUGCUCAGCAGAAUCGGGAAGGCGCUGGGGCUCUCCACCUCCACCGUGGCCACCAUUUGUGACAAGGACAAGAUCUGAGCGAGUUUCCAGGCGGCCACCCCGCAGGCGGCCACCAAGCUGACGCACAGCCGCCGCCUGGCGAUGGAGAACACGGAGCGGCUGCUGAGCGUGUGGAUCGAGGACCAGAACCAGCGCAACACGCGGGGCAACAUGGUGCUUGUCCAGGAGAAGACCGCAGCCUGUUCGAGGAGCUCAGGCGGCAGCAGGGCGAGGGCGCCGAGUCGGAGACCUUCAGGCCUGCCAGGGCCGGUUCAAGGUACGCUUCCGGCUGCGCACCCUGGGGUGGGCCGACGAGGCGGUGCGUGCAGCCCCUGGGGCGCGUGCAGGUACUGUGGGCCGCGCAGGGUGAUCCAGGAGGGGGACUUCACGGCCCGCCAGGUGUUCAGCGUGGAGGAGACCCGGCUCUUCUGGAGGCGGCUGCUGGAUGGGACGGUGCCUUCCGCCCGGAGGAGCGCCCUGGGUUCACAGCCCCCCAAGAUCUACUGACUCUGCUGCUGGGCAGCAACGUGGCCGGUAGCUUGAAGCUGAAGCCGCUGCUGGUGUACCCGGUGGAGAACCUGCGCGCCCUCAGGGGCUUCUCCAAGCCCAGCCUGCCCCUGCUUGGCUCGCCCACAAGAAGGCGUGGGUCACGGUGAGCCUCUUCCCGGAGUGGUUCGUGCACUUCUUCCGCCCUGCGGUGGAGAGGUACUAUGCCUGGCACGGGCUCCCGCGUAAAGCGCAGCUUGUCCCGGACAGCGCUCCUGGCCGCCCUGGAAACCUGGACGACCUCUCCGACCACGUGGGCGUGGAGUCCCUGCCCAAGGAUACCACAGCCCUCAUCCAGCCCAUGACCCAGGACGUGGUCGCCACCUUUAAGGCCUGCCACCUGCGGAGGGUCUUCCGCCUCUUGGCCGCGAGGGCCGGGGGCACAGGCGAGCCGGGAGCGGCCCUGGACGUCUGGCGGGACUACUGCAUCCUUGACACCGCCCCGUACCUCUCCGUGUCCUGGGAGGGGUCCCGCCCUCGUCGCUGAACAGUGGUUGGAGGAGGCCGUGGCCCGAGCGCCUCCAGCACAGAGUCAGCGGCCCCCAGGUGGAAACCCUCCCACAGAUCUGGUGGGACAUCCAGGCGCUGGCGCACCAGGUGGGUUUCAGGGAGGUGGCGGAGGCAGAGGUGGCCGAGCUGCUGCAGAGCCGUGGCUCGGACUGGUCCAAGAGGAGCUGGAGGAGCCGGAGCCGACUGCCGAGGAGGAGGGCAAGGCCAGCCCCGCCACCGCCGCCAGCUCACGGCUGAGCACUUGGCCAGGGCCCUGGCACAUUUCGAUGCCCGCCUGCACAUCAUCAGGGACGACGCCUCCAAGCUGGAGUGCAGCCUCCAGGUCUGCCGGGGUGUGAACAACUUGAUGGGCUGCUGUGGGCGCAUUUCAAGGAGAAGCAAGGCCCCAAGUAGUGGGGUGGGAGGGGUGGGGAAGGAGGGGGCGUCCUCCCUCGCCAGCUCUCACUUGGAAGUGACACUGGUCUUCGUGUUUCCAUCUCAUUAACUCCUCAAAUGUCUUUUGUCAGCAAAUAAUUUAUUAUCUCCAGUGAUCUCAAAUACAUGGUUUUAGAAGCCUC
This 2220-nucleotide long non-coding RNA is filed under the name Sus scrofa (pig). Its description in RNAcentral is "lncRNA (ENSSSCG00015044943.1, ENSSSCG00150044179.1, ENSSSCG00160046831.1)". Lineage: Eukaryota; Metazoa; Chordata; Mammalia; Artiodactyla; Suidae. The record is from RNAcentral.